AUUGAACGCUGGCGGCGGGCCUAACACAUGCAAGUCGAGCGACAGGAUAGGAAGUUCUCCCUCUUACGGUUGGCGGGGGACGGGUGGGUAACACGUGGAUAACCAACUUAUAAGACUGGGAUAAUUUCGGGAACCCGGAUACACUACCGGAUAAUAUAUUGAACGGCAUGGUUCAUUGGUGAAAGAGGGUUUUCCUGUACCUAUUAGCUGAUUCCGCGCCGCAUUAGCUAGUUGGUAAGGUAACGGCUUACCAAGGCAACGAUGCGUAGCCGGCCUGAGAGGGUGAUCGGCCACACUGGAACUGAGACACGGUCCAGACUCCUACGGGAGGCAGCAGUAGGGAAUCUUCCGCAAUGGGCGAAAGCCUGACGGAGCAACGCCGCGUGAGUGAUGAAGGUCUUCGGAUCGUAAAGCUCUGUUAUUAGGGAAGAACAAAAGUGUAAGUAACUAUGCACGUCUUGACGGUACCUAAUCAGAAAGCCACGGCUAACUUCGUG
This 497-nucleotide ribosomal RNA is filed under the name uncultured bacterium. RNAcentral's name for it is "partial 16S ribosomal RNA". It matches the Rfam family "Bacterial small subunit ribosomal RNA", at positions 30 to 507 of the family's 1533-position model. The record is from RNAcentral.